RNAcentral lists this transfer RNA (73 nucleotides) under Canis lupus familiaris (dog). It matches the Rfam family "tRNA". From Rfam's summary of the family: Transfer RNA (tRNA) molecules are approximately 80 nucleotides in length. Their secondary structure includes four short double-helical elements and three loops (D, anti-codon, and T loops). The record is from Rfam by way of RNAcentral. Lineage: Eukaryota; Metazoa; Chordata; Mammalia; Carnivora; Canidae. RNAcentral also lists the same sequence under 1 other name.
GCCUGGCUGGCUCAGUCAGUAGAGCAUGUGACUCUUGAUCUCAGGGUUUUGAGUUCCAGCCCCAGGUUGGGUA